UACGUAGGGGGCUAGCGUUGUCCGGAUUUAUUGGGCGUAAAGAGCGUGUAGGCGGCCAUGUAGGUCCGGUGUGAAAACUCGAGGCUUAACCUCGAGAUGUCAUCGGAAACCAUUUGGCUAGAGUCCGGAAGAGGAGAGUGGAAUUCCUGGUGCAGCGGUGAAAUGCGCAGAUAUCAGGAAGAACAGCAAUGGCGAAAGCAGCUCUCUGGGACGGUACUGACGCUGAGACGCGAAAGCGUGGGGAGCGAACAGG
RNAcentral lists this ribosomal RNA (253 nucleotides) under uncultured bacterium. RNAcentral describes it as "partial 16S ribosomal RNA". It matches the Rfam family "Bacterial small subunit ribosomal RNA", at positions 524 to 776 of the family's 1533-position model. The record is from RNAcentral.